Molecule: ribosomal RNA, 465 nt
Filed under: uncultured bacterium
Lineage: Bacteria
Description: bacterial SSU rRNA
Rfam family: Bacterial small subunit ribosomal RNA
Source: RNAcentral
CCUACGGGGGGCAGCAGUGGGGAAUUUUGGACAAUGGGCGCAAGCCUGAUCCAGCCAUGCCGCGUGCGGGAAGAAGGCCUUCGGGUUGUAAACCGCUUUUGUCAGGGAAGAAACGGCCUACGAUAAUACCGUGGGCUAAUGACGGUACCUGAAGAAUAAGCACCGGCUAACUACGUGCCAGCAGCCGCGGUAAUACGUAGGGUGCAAGCGUUAAUCGGAAUUACUGGGCGUAAAGCGUGCGCAGGCGGUUAUGCAAGACAGAUGUGAAAUCCCCGGGCUCAACCUGGGAACUGCAUUUGUGACUGCAUGACUUGAGUACGGUAGAGGGGGAUGGAAUUCCGCGUGUAGCAGUGAAAUGCGUAGAUAUGCGGAGGAACACCGAUGGCGAAGGCAAUCCCCUGGACCUGUACUGACGCUCAUGCACGAAAGCGUGGGGAGCAAACAGGAUUAGAUACCCCAGUAGUC